This 253-nucleotide ribosomal RNA is filed under the name uncultured bacterium. RNAcentral's name for it is "partial 16S ribosomal RNA". It matches the Rfam family "Bacterial small subunit ribosomal RNA", at positions 524 to 776 of the family's 1533-position model. The record is from RNAcentral.
UACGAGGGGGGCGAGCGUUGUUCGGAAUUAUUGGGCGUAAAGGGUGCGUAGGCGGUUUGGUAAGUCUGAUGUGAAAUCUAUGGGCUCAACUCAUAGUCUGCAUCGGAAACUGCCGGGCUUGAGUGUGGGAGAGGUGAGUGGAAUUCCUGGUGUAGCGGUGAAAUGCGUAGAUAUCAGGAGGAACACCUGUGGCGAAAGCGCUCGUCUGGCCCAAUACUGACGCCGAUGCGCGAAAGCUAGGGGAGCAAACGGG